Long non-coding RNA from Pseudophryne corroboree (corroboree frog), 1248 nucleotides. RefSeq lists it as uncharacterized. The transcript has 2 exons. The record is from RefSeq and is a predicted model, not a curated record. Lineage: Eukaryota; Metazoa; Chordata; Amphibia; Anura; Myobatrachidae.
AGGUAGAUGGGCAAGCAUUAGUAUGAUUCUGCAAUAAAGCCAAUGUCACUCCAUUUUGUUAUAUACAAUAGAUUAUAAGCUUACUUUAGUAUUAAGAUAUUGAGAUGUUUAAAAUAUGCCUGGAAGAAUGGAAAAUUACAGUUGGCUGAAAGGAAACAAAAAGAAGAAGUUGUGGCAAAGCUUCUGAGAAAUGGAGAAAGAAAAGGAAACAAGCAGGCGUUAUCAGGAAAAGGACGCAAUCCUGAGGUUAAGGCAAUAGUUAGUGACAGUUUUAAAAAACAGGUAUAUAUAUAUGUAUGGAUUAAUAAAAGAACAGAACUCAGAUUGACUACACCAUGUGUGCAGUGUGUGGUCAUUUGAUAUCUCCAGCUGGCUGCAUGGCACGUAUAUUUUAUUCACAGGUUCUGAAUGCAAAAGACAGGCUGUUGUUGGAGUCCUCUCAGAGAAGGCUGAGGCUAAAGGAGGUUUACCUCCAACAUUUUCAUGGUGCCGAAACCCGGGAAGCCAAGAAGUUGAAUAGAGGAGCAACAAGUCACCUGGCUCUAGACGUUGGAACCGUUUAAACCGCGUAAAACGCAAGAUAAACAAAAAGAAACCUGCUAAAUACGUAAGAUUCGAGCAUACAGAGGAAAUGGAUGAACGUGACCAAGAUGAAUAUGAUGAUAUUGAAUCACGUAAUGACAGACCACCCGUCUACAAAAAUGGAAGCAAUCAAAAAAGACUGUAAAUAGGACUCUUAUGCAUCUAUGCCUUGUGACUAUUUUGUCUGUACGGGAUGGUUAUUACCCUCCCCUGGCAAUAGGCCUAGGGAGACAGACGUACUUGACCAGGUCAUCGCCUGACCUGCUCGGCGAAGUAGGGUAGCGAGGUAUAGUGUGAUGUCUUUUUGAGAAUCAAAAGGAGGGAAAAUGAGGAAGGUAGAUGGGCAAGCAUUAGUAUGAUUCUGCAAUAAAGCCAAUGUCACUCCAUUUUGUUAUAUACAAUAGAUUAUAAGCUUACUUUAGUAUUAAGAUAUUGAGAUGUUUAAAAUAUGCCUGGAAGAAUGGAAAAUUACAGUUGGCUGAAAGGAAACAAAAAGAAGAAGUUGUGGCAAAGCUUCUGAGAAAUGGAGAAAGAAAAGGAAACAAGCAGGCGUUAUCAGGAAAAGGACGCAAUCCUGAGGUUAAGGCAAUAGUUAGUGACAGUUUUAAAAAACAGGUAUAUAUAUAUGUAUGGAUUAAUAAAAGAACAGAACUCAGAUUGACUACA